UACGUAGGGGGCAAGCGUUGUCCGGAUUCAUUGGGCGUAAAGAGCGUGUAGGCGGCCAGGUAGGUCGGUUGUGAAAACUGGAGGCUCAACCUUCAGACGUCGACCGAAACCAUCUGGCUAGAGUCCGGGAGAGGAGAGUGGAAUUCCUGGUGUAGCGGUGAAAUGCGCAGAUAUCAGGAAGAACACCCGUGGCGAAAGCGGCUCUCUGGAACGGUACUGACGCUGAGACGCGAAAGCGUGGGGAGCGAACAGG
Molecule: ribosomal RNA, 253 nt
Filed under: uncultured bacterium
Lineage: Bacteria
Also listed under: 1 other name
Description: partial 16S ribosomal RNA
Rfam family: Bacterial small subunit ribosomal RNA
Source: RNAcentral